This 371-nucleotide ribosomal RNA is filed under the name uncultured Glomeromycotina. Its description in RNAcentral is "SSU rRNA". It matches the Rfam family "Eukaryotic small subunit ribosomal RNA", at positions 569 to 947 of the family's 1831-position model. The record is from RNAcentral. Lineage: Eukaryota; Fungi; Glomeromycota.
AGCAGCCGCGGUAAUUCCAGCUCCAAUAGCGUAUAUUAAAGUUGUUGCAGUUAAAAAGCUCGUAGUUGAAUUUCGGGAUCAAUAUACCGGUCAUGCCUUGGUAUGCACUGGUAUCUUUGAUUUCUCCCUUCUGACGAACUUUGAUGUCAUUAAUUUGGUGUCAUAGGGAAUCAGGACUGUUACUUUGAAAAAAUUGAGUGUUUAAAGCAGGCUCACGCUUGAAUACAUUAGCAUGGAAUAAUGAAAUAGGACGUUUGAUUCUAUUUUGUGGUUUCUAGGAUCGACGUAAUGAUUAAUAGGGAUAGUUGGGGGCAUUAGUAUUCAAUUGUCAGAGGCGAAAUUCUUGGAUUUAUUGAAGACUAACUACUGCG